This 499-nucleotide ribosomal RNA is filed under the name uncultured Glomeromycotina. RNAcentral describes it as "partial small subunit ribosomal RNA". It matches the Rfam family "Eukaryotic small subunit ribosomal RNA", at positions 591 to 1092 of the family's 1831-position model. Lineage: Eukaryota; Fungi; Glomeromycota. The record is from RNAcentral.
CCAAUAGCGUAUAUUAAAGUUGUUGCAGUUAAAAAGCUCGUAGUUGAAUUUCGGGAUCAAGGAAUCGGUCAUGCCUUGGUAUGUACUGGUUUUAUUGGUUCUCACCUUCUAAAGAACCAUAAUGUCAUUUAUUUGAUGUUAUGGGGAAUUAGGACUGUUACCUUGAAAAAAUUAGAGUGUUUAAAGCACGCUUACGCUUGAAUACAUUAGCAUGGAAUAUUGCAAUAGGACAUCCGAUUCUAUUUUGUUGGUUUCUAGGAUCGACGUAAUGAUUAAUAGGGAUAGUUGGGGGCAUUAGUAUUCAAUUGUCAGAGGUGAAAUUCUUGGAUUUAUUGAAGACUAACUACUGCGAAAGCAUUUGCCAAGGAUGUUUUCAUUAAUCAAGAACGAAAGUUAGGGGAUCGAAGACGAUCAGAUACCGUCGUAGUCUUAACCAUAAACUAUGCCGACUAGGGAUCGGAUGAUGUUAAUUUUUUAAUGACUCAUUCGGCGCCUUACG